CCUACGGGGGGCAGCAGUGGGGAAUAUUGGACAAUGGGGGGAACCCUGAUCCAGCCAUGCCGCGUGUGUGAAGAAGGCCCUCGGGUUGUAAAGCACUUUCAGUGAGGAAGAACGCCUGGUGGUUAAUACCCAUCAGGAAAGACAUCACUCACAGAAGAAGCACCGGCUAACUCCGUGCCAGCAGCCGCGGUAAUACGGAGGGUGCGAGCGUUAAUCGGAAUUACUGGGCGUAAAGCGCGCGUAGGUGGCUUGAUAAGCCGGUUGUGAAAGCCCCGGGCCCAACCUGGGAACGGCAUCCGGAACUGUCAAGCUAGAGUGCAGGAGAGGAAGGUAGAAUUCCCGGUGUAGCGGUGAAAUGCGUAGAGAUCGGGAGGAAUACCAGUGGCGAAGGCGGCCUUCUGGACUGACACUGACACUGAGGUGCGAAAGCGUGGGUAGCAAACAGGAUUAGCUACCCCAGUAGUC
RNAcentral lists this ribosomal RNA (465 nucleotides) under Vreelandella stevensii. RNAcentral's name for it is "partial 16S ribosomal RNA". It matches the Rfam family "Bacterial small subunit ribosomal RNA", at positions 338 to 795 of the family's 1533-position model. Lineage: Bacteria; Pseudomonadati; Pseudomonadota; Gammaproteobacteria; Oceanospirillales; Halomonadaceae. The record is from RNAcentral.